GAUGAACGCUAGCGGCAGGCUUAACACAUGCAAGUCGAGGGGUAUGGGAAGCUUGCUUCCCAGAGGCCGGCGCACGGGUGCGUAACGCGUAUGCAACCUACCUUGAACAGGGGGAUAGCCCAGAGAAAUUUGGAUUAAUACCCCAUGGUAUUAUUGGAUGGCAUCAUCUGAUAAUUAAAGUUUCAACGGCUCAAGAUGGG
RNAcentral lists this ribosomal RNA (200 nucleotides) under uncultured bacterium. Its description in RNAcentral is "partial 16S ribosomal RNA". It matches the Rfam family "Bacterial small subunit ribosomal RNA", at positions 28 to 229 of the family's 1533-position model. The record is from RNAcentral.